Molecule: non-coding RNA, 551 nt
Organism: Paramuricea clavata
Lineage: Eukaryota; Metazoa; Cnidaria; Anthozoa; Malacalcyonacea; Plexauridae
Source: the annotation of a GenBank genome assembly
CUCGAAGACAAUACAAAAUUACAAUAACAAAGCAAUUACGUACAUGAUUGACAGUUAAUACAGUGAACCUAUUUAUAGCUAAUUAUAGCAUAAUGUCUCUGUCUGAUAAUGUAACGAUAUAUUAAAAUGUUAAUUACUCUGUUCAUAACACUCCCCAGGGUUGAGCCGUACACAGUGCUCAACAAUACUCCCCAGUAUAAUCGUAACUAGAAAUAUGAAAGUUUCACGAACUACAGUCUGUCUAACUGUUCGCAUAAUCGGUUUCUCAAAUAAUUAAUUAACGGAUCAUGUUUAUGUCUUCCUUUGAAACUCUUUCAUCUGUUCCAGUCUUCGCAAUUCACCCACUACACAUUCUCCUUGCAUAUUCUCCGUGUUCCUAGCAGUUCGUUUAACUUUUAGUUCGUUGACAAACCUUAACACGUACGCUGUUACACGCAACAGCUUAGCGAAGCUGCUGAAACGGUCACAACUUAUGAUAUCGUUCAGAUUCAGUUCAGCUGAUUCUUCUUCUUUCGUACUGACGAGUGAAUGAAUAACCGUCUGCGGUUUCU